GAUGAACGCUGGCGGCGUGCCUAAUACAUGCAAGUCGAGCGAACAGACGAGGAGCUUGCUCCUCUGACGUUAGCGGCGGACGGGUGAGUAACACGUGGAUAACCUACCUAUAAGACUGGGAUAACUUCGGGAAACCGGAGCUAAUACCGGAUAAUAUAUUGAACCGCAUGGUUCAAUAGUGAAAGACGGUUUUGCUGUCACUUAUAGAUGGAUCCGCGCCGCAUUAGCUAGUUGGUAAGGUAACGGCUUACCAAGGCAACGAUGCGUAGCCGACCUGAGAGGGUGAUCGGCCACACUGGAACUGAGACACGGUCCAGACUCCUACGGGAGGCAGCAGUAGGAAAUCUUCCGCAAUGGGCGAAAGCCUGACGGAGCAACGCCGCGUGAGUGAUGAAGGUCUUCGGAUCGUAAAACUCUGUUAUUAGGGAGGAACAAAUGUGUAAGUAACUAUGCACGUCUUGACGGUACCUAAUCAGAAAGCCACGGCUAACUACGUG
Molecule: ribosomal RNA, 497 nt
Filed under: uncultured bacterium
Lineage: Bacteria
Description: partial 16S ribosomal RNA
Rfam family: Bacterial small subunit ribosomal RNA
Source: RNAcentral